Molecule: ribosomal RNA, 292 nt
Filed under: uncultured bacterium
Lineage: Bacteria
Description: partial 16S ribosomal RNA
Rfam family: Bacterial small subunit ribosomal RNA
Source: RNAcentral
GUGCCAGCAGCCGCGGUAAUACGAAGGGGGCUAGCGUUGUUCGGAAUUACUGGGCGUAAAGCGCGCGCAGGCGGCCAUUCAAGUCAGGGGUGAAAGCCCGGAGCUCAACUCCGGAACUGCCUCUGAAACUGUUUGGCUUGAGUACGGUAGAGGUGAGUGGAAUUCCCAGUGUAGGGGUGAAAUUCGUAGAUAUUGGGAAGAACACCGGUGGCGAAGGCGGCUCACUGGACCGUUACUGACGCUCAGGCGCGACAGCGUGGGGAGCAGACAGGAUUAGAAACCCCGGUAGUCC